Molecule: long non-coding RNA, 939 nt
Filed under: Heterocephalus glaber (naked mole-rat)
Lineage: Eukaryota; Metazoa; Chordata; Mammalia; Rodentia; Bathyergidae
Description: lncRNA (ENSHGLG00100039612.1)
Source: RNAcentral
CCACUCCUGAGCAUUUCAGGUGCCUCAAAAGGACAGUUUAUUCCCCUUAAUGCACAAAAUACUGACUUUGCGGUUUGUCUUUUUGGCGGGGUGGGAUGGAGGGUCUGAGGAAAGCUGAGAUAGUCUUCAUGAAAGAGCAGCUAUGCAUGGCCCUGUAUGAUUUAGAUUACUAUGCAAACCAACAACUAUUUUUGGACGAUGGAAUUAAUUAUUUACACAGGGGGAAUUUGCCAUUCUUUAGCUUGGUUCUGUCCUGCUGUUUAUGUUACACAAUCACAAACCGUGUGAAUACUGUUUUAGGCAUACAUCACCAAGAAUUCUUACAUCAGGAAAGUAAUCAUAUUAUCUAGGAUUGUUGGCUCCAGGGAAACUUGUUUAGCCAAAUUCUCGCACUUUAAAAAAUAACUGAAAAAUUCAUGGGAACGGCUCCCCAUUGUCCAUUCCAGUCUUCUCAUUACCCUGCAUUUAAUCGCCAUGGGUCUCCUACAUCUGCGUUGGUCUCUUAACAGGGCUAAUAGUAAUAAAUUCAAGUUUUGGUUUUUUGCUUACAACUGCCAUUUCCAAGUCCUGCCGUGUCUGCAGAAAGAAAUUAAGGGGUUGGAUAGUUUUCCGAUAUUAUUCAAAGCUGUUCAUAAUUCUGUCGUUGAGAAUCGCUCCCUUCAGCACACCCAUUGCUGCCGCCUCUCGGCUGGGUAAAAGAGUCUCCGGGCCAAGCCAGGUUGCUCAGGGCCAGUUCGCGCUCUUGUGCCUUGGCGCUCGGAUUGUCCUAGCCCUCUCGUCGGUUUCCAGUAGGUCUCCGAAAAUUUUUGAUUGCGUGAAGCCGGUGGCAUUUCCGCGCGCCGAUGGAAAGGGAUCAAACUCAGGACCUUGUGCUUGCCAGGUAGGCAUGGUGCCACUGAGCUACAUCCCCAGCCCACCCCUACUCCACUCUUUACAAAU